Molecule: long non-coding RNA, 811 nt
Organism: Coccinella septempunctata (seven-spotted ladybird)
Lineage: Eukaryota; Metazoa; Arthropoda; Insecta; Coleoptera; Coccinellidae
Exons: 2
Source: RefSeq, a predicted model, not a curated record
CCUAAUAAGUUUCAGGAAAUGCAGAAUCCUCCCAGAAUAAAUUUCAAUCGAUAUUCUACCUUCUGACAAAAAAAAGCCUCAUCUUUGAAAACACCCUAUAGUCUAAUGCAUCCAGAGUUAAUUUCAAAAAAGCUGGAAUUUCAUUUCACAACUAAGUUUCUAAAUUCCUACUACUGUUGUGUGUUGAAUAAUUAGUUGUAUUUUUUUUUAUUCCGUGGCUCACACCAUGUUGAAAUUGCUAUUUUUCGUCUUCUGUCAAAUCUUCCUUAUGUGGGACUUGAAAUACAAGAAUCCGUACCUCGAAUAUCCAAAAUGAACUAAUACCUUUUUCCCUACUUUGUUUCAUUCUAUAGGUUUCCUCUGAACCCUGAAAUAACUGGUUUCCUUCAUCCUAUGCAAGGAUUUGUUCCAUUUAUUUCAAAGAAGAGGAUUUGGAUAGAAUCUCUCUUCCAUAUGUAAGAGUCAGAGAACAUGCUGUAAUUUCCAUUUUCCUUCAAAAGAGGUUAUCACAGCUACCCUCAUAAAAUAGAAGAGUUACCUGUCGAACCCAUGGACUUUCGAGAAUUCCAUGGUGAUUGAGAUGGUUCCAUCAACCUCAAGGGACUCCAUAGAUGAAGUUACACUUAUGGAAGGAAAUGAAACAAAUGUUCUAGAAAAUACCGCUCCGAAAUAUAAAUCACUAAUACACCAUAUCCUAUUGCAGAGAUUGUGUGUUGAUCCGAAUAUUGUAUAUUUUGUGAAUAAAUUGCACGUUCUGUAAAUUAUUUCCUGUAUAAAUCUUGUAUAAUUAUAAUAAAUAUCAAUAAUUUUA